This 67-nucleotide transfer RNA is filed under the name Nandinia binotata (African palm civet). RNAcentral's name for it is "tRNA-Pro". It matches the Rfam family "tRNA". From Rfam's summary of the family: Transfer RNA (tRNA) molecules are approximately 80 nucleotides in length. The record is from RNAcentral. Lineage: Eukaryota; Metazoa; Chordata; Mammalia; Carnivora; Nandiniidae.
CAAGGAAUAGUUUAAGAUAGAACUUCAGCUUUGGGAGUUGAUAGUGGGGUUAUUACUUCUUCCUUGA